CCAAUGCAAUGCAAGCAAACCUGACAUGCUCUAGGAUUAGGAACCAAAAUCCUAGGCAUGUGUGACCUCACAAACAAGGUGGGUCCACUCCCCUUCUAUGGGUGAAUGACCUCAUCCUUUUUGACCCAAACUUGCUGUUAGUUUUUGAUUGGCUACAUUCUGUUGACAAAAAUCACUAUCAUGUAAUGUUGCUGUUUUCACAGGGAUGCCGAAUAUUUCAUAAAAGUGUUACAAGAUGUUCAAAGAAGAUUCUAUGCAGAUUCCAACUCAGAGAAGUCAGAUCCCAAGAUUCGGACUAGACAGCGCAGUCAUGCGUCUAGACGCCCAUCAGUGUCUAGAAGAUUCUCAAUGCUUCAAUGUACAUCCAUUUGGACGUCAUGGCAACACGUCCGGACGCACAUCAAAGUUUGAGAAGAAUUAAGUUUUCCUUCACAGACACGUAUAUGGGAAGACAGCUGCAUCCGUCCGAACGUCAGGGCAACAUCGUCCGGACUAGGUCCUUAAUAAGGGAAGUCGUGGAGAAGAAUUGCAACCGUCCGGAUGUCAAGGCAACACCAUCCGGAUGCGGUCUUUAUUAUGGUAAUUACGUGCAUUAGGAGAUGCAACUGUCUCGACUCUAGGGCAACACCAUCCUUACGCGGCCUUUAUAUGAAAACGCGAGGAGCCCGUUAUGGAAAGCUGAUUGCACAGAAGACCGUCCGGAAGCCGCCUAGAGAAAUCAAAGACAGACUCGAUUUAGGUCUUCUUAGCCUAUAAAUAGAGGCCUCUAGGCAUGUACUCUAUACAGAAUUCAGUAUUGAAUUCUUUAUAGCUUAGAGAGGGUGUUUAGGGAGAAAUUGUGAAGAUCCGCUAGCUCUCAAGCCGUUGCUGUUGUGUUGUUGCUGUGCUCAUUUUUUAAGUCUAUCUUAGGAAGGAGCCCUAAGGUAAAGGAAUCCAUAGAAGACCCCUUCAAGUAGGUGACUUGGUUGGGAGGCGUUCACGUUGGGUUAUAUGUCAGAGGGCAAGAUACGAUCGCUGCAUCGGGCCUUCAUCUAGUUGUCCAUCCAUCUCAGCAAGUUCCGCAUCAAAAUAGGAGCAAAUCGUUGCUGUUUCCGUUGAUGCUGUGGAGCCUGAUAUCCUACCAGAGGUAGCUUGUCUUGGUGGCUCCUUCUUGAUCUUCGAUCUCUGAGCUUUGAGAAGUGGACACUUGGGUCGACAUGACCAUUCAUGCCACAGUGGUGGCAUAUGGGAGGCCCUCUCAUGGUAGGAGGCUUCUGCGUGGACUCUGUAACAACCGAAUCAUCUUCACCAAUGAGAGCCUUUCCCUUAUCCAUGUAGGCGGGAGGAAGCUCGGGGAUUGUGGGCAUGACAAACACAGUCUUGGAAGUAGAAGGGAUAUCAGAAGUAGAGGUUACAUACCCGAGUCCUAUCUUGUCUAUUGGGCUCUUUUGGACUGAUAGCAUGUGGGUCAGCUUCUCAUCAGUCAGCCUCUCUAUUUGCAACUGUGCCUCCAACAUCUUUUCUUCUAGAUCUGUGAUCUUGAUAAGCAUUGUGCUUAUCUUCGUCUUUAGCUCGUUCAGUUCCUGUACAUGUUGUUAGCGUGUCUCCCUUAGCUUCAAGAGCUUUACAUAGAGGACUUUGUAUGCCUCUUUUAGUUCUUCCCCAUUUUCAUCACUACUCUCAGAGUAGUAUGAUUAUGAUCCUUCAGAUUCUUCAUGAGGUGCUACGAAGGUCAGAAACUUCUAAUCCUUGUUUGGGGUCUCCUUUUCUUCAGAUUUGCUGAGAGUAGCAUUGUAAGCCUUCCCUUUGGCCUGCUUGAGAUUCCCACAAUCUGCCCGUAGGUGCCCAAAACCAGAUCAUUCAAAACAUUGGGGACCCCUAGGAUCCUUCUUCUCAGCUUCCUCCGGCUCGACUUCUUUGGGGACUUUCCUUAGUCUUUCGAUAAACUUCUUCUUGAAUUUAUCAUUCUUCAUCAAUCUACCGAAGUUCUUAAGGAAAGAAGAGGUUUUAAUAAAAAAUACAGGUUUUGGUGAGCAUAGCAACUACAUCCUCUUCUUCAUUGUCAAAAUCUUUUUGGAUGCUUUGAGGACAAUUGCCUUUGCCUUUCUGACUGGGGGCAGGGAAUUCUCAUAAGUUUGAAGAGAUCCUACCAACUCUUCAAUCUUCAUUGACUCUAGGUCCUUGCUUUCCUCAAUUGUUGUCAUCUUGAUUCUGAAACGCUCAGGCAAAGACCUUAGAAUAUUUUUGAUGAGUUUUACAUCAGAGACAUUCUUCCCGAAACUCACCAUAGAGUUUCUCAAGUCGCCGAUCCUAAUGUAAAACUCAUUGAAUGUCUCAUCUUCCAACAUCUUAAUUUCUUCCAAUUUUAAAAUCAACAUUUUGAACUUGGAAGAUUUAACAAUUUUUGUGCCUUCAUAUGUUGUUUCCAAAAUUUGCCACGCUUCUUGAACAGAUUCACAUUUUGAAAUUUUUGGGAAUUCAGACGGUGAAAGAGCAUGGAGGGCUUUAUCAUUGGAAAGUCGUGCGCUAGUUUGAGCAACUGUGAAUUCAUCAGUUGUAUCCUCUGGCUUAAACCAACCAGAUUCUACAAUCUGCCAAACAUUAAUAGAUUUUUAAAAGAAGCGCAAACACUCUUUCUAAUAGCCAUAAUUCGUUCUGAGUUUGAGACAAGAUAAAAUAAGGAGUCAAGGAUUGCAUUCAGGAAAUUAAUCCAAUAAUA
Molecule: long non-coding RNA, 2698 nt
Organism: Alnus glutinosa
Lineage: Eukaryota; Viridiplantae; Streptophyta; Magnoliopsida; Fagales; Betulaceae
Exons: 3
Source: RefSeq, a predicted model, not a curated record